Long non-coding RNA from Telopea speciosissima, 324 nucleotides. RefSeq lists it as uncharacterized. The transcript is spliced from 3 exons. NCBI's taxonomy places the organism in Eukaryota, Viridiplantae, Streptophyta, Magnoliopsida, Proteales, Proteaceae. The record is from RefSeq and is a predicted model, not a curated record.
UGCAGGUAGAAACUGCUCAACCUCUGUCAAAAUUGUGUCUUGAGUUCCCUGAUCUCUACAUUGGGUGUUUCCGCAAGUCCAGAGUUGGGGCCCUCAUCAUUAAUUUUGUGGGGAAGGACCAAGCUAGAAUAGAGUUGGCAGUGCAAGCUUUAUACAAGAAAUUUAAUCAUGGAGCAUUCUCAGAAGUAAAUUGUAGGUGAUCUCUCUUGCUUGAAGUAUUGCCUCUGGACACUGAGGGGUUCUAUUUGACAGCUGCACUGCUUGCUUGAACCCCAAACGCAAUGUCUUUGGAGCUAGAAGGUGGAUUCUCGUCUUGAUCCAAUG